AAAACUUAAGUAAUGACGAGGUAUUUUAGAAGCUAGAUUUUAAUUUGACGUGUAAUGCGCAAUAAAUGCAAGAAAUAUUAAGAAACAUAAAUAAAAACAAAUGGUGGCCACGAUUGGACUUGAACCAACGACCACUACCA
This 140-nucleotide antisense RNA is filed under the name Helicobacter fennelliae MRY12-0050. RNAcentral's name for it is "Bacterial antisense RNA HPnc0260". It matches the Rfam family "Bacterial antisense RNA HPnc0260". Lineage: Bacteria; Pseudomonadati; Campylobacterota; Epsilonproteobacteria; Campylobacterales; Helicobacteraceae. The record is from Rfam by way of RNAcentral.